GGAAAUUCCGUAGCUCAGGGGUAAAGCAUCUGCCUUGGAUGCAGAAAGUCCUAGGUUCAAUCCCUGCUAUCGCCA
This is a non-coding RNA of Podarcis lilfordi (Lilford's wall lizard), 75 nucleotides long. NCBI's taxonomy places the organism in Eukaryota, Metazoa, Chordata, Lepidosauria, Squamata, Lacertidae. The record is from the annotation of a GenBank genome assembly.